CGGAAGUAGUUCAGUGGUAGAACAUCACCUUGCCAUGGUGGGGGUCGCGGGUUCGAAUCCCGUCUUCCG
This 69-nucleotide transfer RNA is filed under the name Pediococcus acidilactici. It matches the Rfam family "tRNA". Rfam says of the family: Transfer RNA (tRNA) molecules are approximately 80 nucleotides in length. Their secondary structure includes four short double-helical elements and three loops (D, anti-codon, and T loops). Further hydrogen bonds mediate the characteristic L-shaped molecular structure. tRNAs have two regions of fundamental functional importance: the anti-codon, which is responsible for specific mRNA codon recognition, and the 3' end, to which the tRNAs corresponding amino acid is attached (by aminoacyl-tRNA synthetases). tRNAs cope with the degeneracy of the genetic code in two manners: having more than one tRNA (with a specific anti-codon) for a particular amino acid; and 'wobble' base-pairing, i.e. permitting non-standard base-pairing at the 3rd anti-codon position. RNAcentral also lists the same sequence under 67 other names. The record is from RNAcentral. Lineage: Bacteria; Bacillati; Bacillota; Bacilli; Lactobacillales; Lactobacillaceae.